AGUGACGUAUUGUUGACAUAAAGAAGCAUUGUUCUUAUGUCGUUCUACGAUUUGCAGGACUUUCGGUAGUUUGUUAUUAAGGUAGUUUGCUAGUUAUUGUUUUUAUUUAACAAAAAUUAAUGGAUUCUUCAGAAGAAGAAGCCGAUUAUGAUAUUUUCAUCAAUAACAAAGAGGUACAACCUUACAUGUUUGAGCCUUUGGCCAACGCGCAAGGUGGUCAUUGUAAUGACAAUUCUUUGUCUUUGGAAGAUGAAUACAUUCACAGAACUGGAAAUGUUGAAUGGUGCGAGUGUUGCUUUUGUGUGGUCAUGAGUACAGGACGGGAAAGUAUAUGUUGCCAAGAGGUAAACAAUACUGACCUCUGAUACAUGGCGAUCAUAUUUGCAUCACACAAGAGGAAGAGUUUGCCACAGUGUGUACAAACGAAGCUGUCUUAAAAACAGCUAUGGUCGUGUACACACAUGACAUUGGACCUAUACCUGAGAGUGAAGAAAACGAAACAUUACGCUACACGGCGUACCGACAGUGGACGGCUUGGGUGCAUGGCAGGUUGGGAAAAAAGUACAGACUACCCAUACCUUCUUGUGCUGUGCACAAAAUCCGGAAAGCAUUUCCUUCGCCGUCUGGAGAUUACAAAGGAUUUGAAUAUGCUCAACACUACUGAAUGGUAGGGCUUAUGGCGUAUGACAAAAUCUGUUCAUUUGUAAUUAUGUUUAUUUCAUGUGGAACGUUAUUUCCAUUAUCUUUUUAUUUAUAAAAGCGACAUUUAUGUUGCUUAAUGGCUUCAGCUUUGCUGAUAUUUGAUUUGUGCCAAGUCUAUGGGACAGGUAUUUCUUUCACUCCAGCGACAUCAAGAGCUUUGGACAGUGUUGGAUUAAUGCGUCUGAAGUACAAAACUUCUUUCAUCAAGUCCUUAACAUAUCCUGAAAAGCAAAUCAUUAUUUAUGUUGGCUUUGCAUUGCACUUUGAGAAAAAAAAAAAUGAGUAUGUUUUGGUGCAAAAAGAAUUACCACUCGGUGGAAACCUUUGAUGGAUGAAGUCUGCUUUUGAUAACUGAGUUUUCGAUUAUCUUUCAUGAGAUACUUGGACUCAACAAUCGAAGACAGCUCAACAUAAGCUUUUGAACCUAAGAUCAGAAUCUCUAACAUAUCAUGUUCACAUUUUGGGAAUACAUCACUAUGUCCCUCAUGGAUGUCACAUAUAUGGUUGAGAAGUGACAACCACUUUGCCUUGACAAGUUCUUCAUCACCAUUGCUGGAAGCAGCACACCAGUAUACAUGGUUGGAAAUUGAUUGGGCCCAAUCUGACAAUAAUUUGCAACCACUUUUUUUGAUGCUGCCCAAAUUUUCUUUUUGAUUCCUGUUGGAUUUUGAUUAUUGAUGAAAUGUGUAAAAGAUUUGAUUUGAGCAUGUCUGUCUGUGGUCAUUGACUUCACCUUCAUCCCACUUUCAUCAAACUUUGCCAGACAUUAUUUUAAUCCCUCAAGUUCCAUUGCUCCAGAGUUGGACUCUUCAAUGGACUGUUUAACAUAAUUAUGUGAGUAUUCUAAUCAUGUUUAACAUACAGUUGUUGAAGAAUUGUUACCUGAACAAGUUGUGUGUCUAAAAUGUUGUUAGAUUCCAAAUCCAUGCAGCUAUAUGACCCAUACAUGGCACAAUAUCCAGGCAAAUCACAUCUUCCAUCUCUUCCAAGGUUGAUGUUCCUUUUAUUAAUUUAUUAUUAAAGCAGAAACAAAACAACAUAUAUUUAAUUAUUUAAGUUACAUAACGAGCAUUGUCCUAAACCAUGCGGUAUCGAGCAGAACAGAAGAUAACAAUUAGCAUACAAUAAGAAGUGCUUACCAGAUCAUGUGACUAGUACUAUGAUCAGAUAUCUUAUACUUAGUUUAAUACACAUAUAAUGUAUCGUCAUUCCUAACACCUUUCUCUGAUUGAUUCUAGAAGAUACUUUUGGUGCAUAUGCCAAACAUUUGAAA
Molecule: RNA transcript, 1975 nt
Organism: Xenia sp. Carnegie-2017
Lineage: Eukaryota; Metazoa; Cnidaria; Anthozoa; Malacalcyonacea; Xeniidae
Gene name: P2X purinoceptor 7-like
Exons: 6
Source: RefSeq, a predicted model, not a curated record